AAUAACCAGAACACGCAUGACAAUAACAACAUCAACAAAGUUUCAAUAUAAUGCAACAAAGCUACGCACAAGCUUACUUUCAAGAGGACAAGUGACACAGGCUUAGAAAGCACGGUUAUUUUCAGCUGCGUAAAAUAAACUUUGCAGCAAUAGCAGGCUAGGCCUAUUUAAUGACCGUGGAGCUAGCAUCAUCAUCAACAUAACACAACGGUUAUGGAAAUUAGAACGACAGACAGUACAAUACAUUGAAUUAAAUUGCCAUGUUUCGUGUGCAGGUGACGACGGAGAUAAGACGGCUUCAGACAGCUGUUUGCUAGAACUUCACUGCACAACACGCACUGAGGCUUUGGGCAAUCUGUAUCGCCAAUCCAAGUGAAGCCCAAACCCAGGUUUUCCAGGGCCUUCAGCUGACUGUGACACUGCUCUUCCAAAGGAUGCAUCUGCAAGAGCUGGGCAGCCUUCAGAAGCUGGGGCAGAUCAUCCACGGGGACCUCGAGACAUUCAGUGUAGCAGAGCUGCGGGAAGAAUGAGCUCACAAUGCACAGUGUGAACCAGACUGAAAUGCAACAGCAUCCAGGACCCUCUCUGUAGCUAUCUAGUGGCCCAAAGCAAAUGUUGAAUCCUACACGUCCCCAAUGGUCAUGGGCCUCAGUGCACUCUGCCUGGCCAUUGCUCCACACUGUGGCCACACAUACCCUCUGUGUUUAACUCUUGUUUGUUUACCCUGCAGCUACCCAUUAUUCCUGCAUAUUUCUGUUUCUGUCAUAGGUACGCACAUAUGAUUACAAAAUGUUCCCUUGCCAAUACACAAACGAGCUGUUUAUUCAAGGCAAGAUAAUGUUGAUUAUUGGUGAUGGAGGGAGUAAAUGUCAUCAAAAUAAAUACAUGUUCUUAUCAGGGACAUCCUUGUCAAAUGUCUUACUUUUGAGAAGCAACUCUUUGAAUAGAACUCUGUUAAAUCAACCAUCCUGCACAAAAUUGUAGAAGUGAAACUUAAAAUCAGUUCAUCCCUAUUUUUCUCAGUACAUUAAUAGGUGCUGGCUCAUAUAAUGGGGAAAACAGAUCAAUUAACAUUUUGACUGUUUUCCUUUUAUUCAAUUCAAUAAAAAAUUUCUCACUCCAUUUUGCUACCAACAUUUUCACAUGCAUUUAUAUUCCUUUACUGCAGCAACUUUAGCAACAGCUUGAUCCACACAUGCAACCAUGUAUACAAACACGUCCAUCUGCGAAGUUGAAUAAGUACACUUUCCAUUGGUAUAUUGGUAUGGUACCAUCAGAAAUCAGGACCUGAUAGUGAUAUGAUUCCCUUAAUUCACACAGAAUAGAAAGGCUACAGACAGAAAGCAGGCCCACAGUAGGCCUCAACGCAGGCCUCCAAACCUGAAGCAAAUCUACAUGUCCUCAAUAGCCCAUGAAGCUAAGGGGAAAACCUAGUGUGCACUUUAACAUCCUCUAACAACACAUGAACAACCAAAGGGCCUCUCCUCUACUCACAUAUGAAGGCUGGAGUUGCAUGCAAGGAACUUUUGAAGCUCUGGUCUAAAAACCACAGACAGCUACAUGACAAGAUCAACAGAGAAGAGAUAGAGAAAGGUGUCUGAGUAGAAUGGAAGGGAGAGAGAUAGAGAUACACGCAGAGAGAGAGAAAGACCUCAGAAGAGAGAGAGAGAGAGAAAAACAUUUGAAACAUUUAGCAGUGUUGCUGGGAGACCAUGCAGGGGCAGACAGUCUAGUGAAGCCGAGGUUUUCGGUGCAAUGGAGAAACUCACCAGUUCACGAGUGACUCAACCCACCCCCUGUAGAGAGUGCUGGUCCUACACACAUUGUGGCCUGGCUGUUGAAUGACAUGGUUGGCUGGUCUCCGUUUAGGUAAGGGACAUGGUGUCUCUUUUGGCUUCUCAGUCCCUCCUCUUUGCCUCUUCUGGCCCGGAUUGGUCUGUCAUGGGAGCAUCUGUGACUGUUGCAGUAACUGUAUUUGGCGAGAGGAUACAUGCGAGAGAAGCGAGAGAGGCUGUAGAAACAGAACUCAGACCUGAAAUAGCACACCAUGCUGACUUUUGGUGUGAAUGGUGACGACAAAUUACUUGCUGUCUUUACCAGACCGGCUCUCAUCUCCACUGGGAUGUCCUCUUCAGUGCCAUCUGGGGGCGGAGUCACUGGCUGACUUGUUCCCGUUCAUCCUUGUGCAAUGGGAGUAAACUCUGUGGGCUAUACUGUCAGGGUGGUUGCGGUUGGGUAGUUGACGUGACAUAGCCUUUUUGUGGAUCCAAGUUUUAAACACAAAUAAAUAAAAUUUCAAUUUGUCCAAAAUGUUUUUAUAUUGUUCAGAACAUGCUGCUUUAUGUGAACAUACUGAAUAUUCAUGCAAUUCAUCACUUACUUAAAAAAAAAAGCUCAUAUGGUGUGACUGUCCCAAGCACGUUUCACAAAGUUCACUCUUUAAUAAACCUAUGGAAAAUAAAUGCAACUCUCCUCAAUAAAUUACAAAAUGAUGA
Molecule: long non-coding RNA, 2495 nt
Organism: Esox lucius (northern pike)
Lineage: Eukaryota; Metazoa; Chordata; Actinopteri; Esociformes; Esocidae
Exons: 5
Source: RefSeq, a predicted model, not a curated record